This 98-nucleotide ribosomal RNA is filed under the name Arctopoa subfastigiata. RNAcentral's name for it is "partial 26S ribosomal RNA". It matches the Rfam family "Eukaryotic large subunit ribosomal RNA", at positions 1 to 97 of the family's 3401-position model. The record is from RNAcentral. Lineage: Eukaryota; Viridiplantae; Streptophyta; Magnoliopsida; Poales; Poaceae.
GCGACCCCAGGUCAGGCGGGACUACCCGCUGAGUUUAAGCAUAUAAAUAAGCGGAGGAGAAGAAACUUACAAGGAUUCCCCUAGUAACGGCGAGCGAA